RNAcentral lists this ribosomal RNA (468 nucleotides) under uncultured bacterium. RNAcentral's name for it is "partial 16S ribosomal RNA". It matches the Rfam family "Bacterial small subunit ribosomal RNA", at positions 28 to 507 of the family's 1533-position model. The record is from RNAcentral.
GACGAACGCUGGCGGCGUGCUUAACACAUGCAAGUCGAACGGAAAGGCCCUGCUUUUGUGGGGUGCUCGAGUGGCGAACGGGGGAGUAACACGUGAGUAACAUGCCCUUGACUUUGGGAUAACUUCAGGAAAAUGGGGCGAAUACCGGAUAGGAGCACCUGAUGCACGGUGGGGGUGGGAGAGUUUCGGCGGUGGGGGAUGGACUCGCGGCUUAUCAGCUUGUUGGUGGGGUAGUGGCUUACCAAGGCAUUGACGGGUAGCCGGCCUGCGAGGGUGACCGGCCACAUUGGGACUGAGAUACGGCCCAGACUCCUACGGGAGGCAGCAGUGGGGAAUAUUGCACGAUGGGCGGAAGCCUGAUGCAGCAACGCCGCGUGCGGGAUGACGGCCUUCGGGUUGUAAACCGCUUUCGCCUGUGACGAAGCGUGAGUGACGGUAAUGGGUAAAGAAGCACCGGCUAACUACGUG